Molecule: ribosomal RNA, 253 nt
Filed under: uncultured bacterium
Lineage: Bacteria
Description: partial 16S ribosomal RNA
Rfam family: Bacterial small subunit ribosomal RNA
Source: RNAcentral
UACGUAGGAGGCGAGCGUUGUCCGGAAUCACUGGGUGUAAAGCGCGUGUAGGCGGCCUGCCAAGUCUGCUGUGAAAGCGCCUGGCUUAACCGGGCGAGGUCGGUGGAAACUGGCGGGCUGGAGGACGGUAGAGGGGGGUGGAAUUCCCGGUGUAGUGGUGAAAUGCGUAGAGAUCGGGAGGAACACCAGUGGCGAAGGCGGCCCCCUGGACCGUUCCUGACGCUGAGACGCGAAGGCGCGGGGAGCGAACGGG